AGCCAGGCAAUCUCUGUGAGUUCGAGGCCAGCCUGGUCUACAGAGUGAGUUCUAGGACAGCAAGGGACACAAAGAGAAACCCUGUCUCAA
RNAcentral lists this microRNA precursor (90 nucleotides) under Microtus ochrogaster (prairie vole). RNAcentral's name for it is "miRNA (ENSMOCG00000005929.1)". The record is from RNAcentral. Lineage: Eukaryota; Metazoa; Chordata; Mammalia; Rodentia; Cricetidae.